RNAcentral lists this ribosomal RNA (403 nucleotides) under bacterium. RNAcentral describes it as "partial 16S ribosomal RNA". It matches the Rfam family "Bacterial small subunit ribosomal RNA", at positions 355 to 776 of the family's 1533-position model. The record is from RNAcentral.
UGGGGAAUAUUGCACAAUGGAGGGAACUCUGAUGCAGCGACGCCGCGUGAACGAAGAAGGCUUUCGAGUCGUAAAGUUCUUUUAUAUGGGAAGAUAAUGACGGUACCAUAAGAAGAAGCCCCGGCUAACUACGUGCCAGCAGCCGCGGUAAUACGUAGGGGGCUAGCGUUGUCCGGAAUCACUGGGCGUAAAGGGUUCGCAGGCGGAAAUGCAAGUCAGGUGUAAAAGGCAGUAGCUUAACUACUGUAAGCAUUUGAAACUGCAUAUCUUGAGAAGAGUAGAGGUAAGUGGAAUUUUUAGUGUAGCGGUGAAAUGCGUAGAUAUUAAAAAGAAUACCGGUGGCGAAGGCGACUUACUGGGCUCAUUCUGACGCUGAGGAGCGAAAGCGUGGGUAGCAAACAGG